Long non-coding RNA from Phyllostomus discolor (pale spear-nosed bat), 2105 nucleotides. RefSeq lists it as uncharacterized. NCBI's taxonomy places the organism in Eukaryota, Metazoa, Chordata, Mammalia, Chiroptera, Phyllostomidae. The record is from RefSeq and is a predicted model, not a curated record. The transcript has 3 exons.
UUUUAAAGAUGAGCUUAUGCUGGAGGAGGGUGGACUUCUAAUUCAAUUUGACUGCUGUCCUCAUAAGAAGCCACUCUAUGAAGACACAGAAUAUAGGGAGAAUAUAGGGAGUGGAAAAGGAGGCGAAGUUUGGAGUGAUGCUGUCACAAGCCUAGGAACACCUGGGGCUGCCAGAAGCUGAAAGAGGUGAGGAGGGAUCAUCCCUUAUAAUUUUCAGAGGGACCAUGGCCCUACCAACACCUUGAUUGCAGACUUCGAGCCUCCAGAACUGUGAGAGAAUAAAUUCUGGUUAUUUUAACCCAAAAAUGUAUUUCCACAAGAGUCAAUAGAUACUAUAUAUAAAUAUAUAAACCUUUUUAUUUUGCCUGCACUGUUACAGAACGAAUCAUUGUAUCCCCUACCUGCAAAUUCACAUGUUGAUGUCCUGACCCACAAUGUGGUUGUUAUUAGGAGGCACAGAAGAAAAGUCAGGUGAGCACAGAGUGAGAAGACAGCUGCCUACAAGCCAGGAAAAUAAUCCUUACCAAGAAGCAACCUGUCAGCACCUUGAUCUGAGACAUUCUAGCCUCCAGAAGGGCCCCAAAAGACCAUCCACAUCUGGACCUAGUCACCUGCAUGGGUCACUCUUUGCCUGAGGAACAGAACGGGCUCCAGACACCACCGGAACUCCUUUCUGUUGCUGCUGAUUCUCUACCUUUCCCAGACUCACCACCAUCAUGACAUCAUUAAUACAGUGCCCAGCAUACCAGGCCAAAAUAGCCACAACUGAUGUAAAAGAAGAAGAGGGGAUGUAACACCAGAUCCAUCAUUCCUACCAUAAAGCAUUUGUCAUUGGGGCCUUGAGUAUUGGGAUUAAACAUGGUCUGGCACAUGCCAACUCCUGUAAGAUCUGCACUAAGUCCGUGUAGGACUGCCAUUUGCUCACAGUGUCUGGUAUGUCUCCCUGCACCUGCUCAUACUGUAUGAAUUGCAGCCAUGACCCAUUCCAACAGAGAAUGAGAUCCCUGCCCCCUCCCAUUUCCAUAGCUGUUUUGCAGCCUCUGAUGUAGGGAGGGGUGAGCCAUGAUGCAAGCCAACUUUUCCAUCUCAUUAUGAGUGCACAUAAUAAUGUCUACCCCUAAAUCCCAAAGGCUGGAGCCAUGCUACAAAGGCUCCCCAGGCCACUGCCAAAAUUGCCUUACCAGAUUGAUUAGUUUGUCCUGUAUAUACGGACAAUAACAUGGUGUGAUUCAACCAAGUGGGUCGGGCCAGACAGAUGCCCCCAGGCACCAUGGGCUGCUGGGAUUUCAUCGUCUGUAUCACUACUAGGCAAGCCUGCAGGAAACCCAGUUCCCAUCCCCUUCCUCUUCUGAAUCUGUCACUACUAUCAGGGAGGGGGUCACCAGGGCUCUGCUGAGGACCCCUGCGAUUCUGCUGUUUUGGAGGUCUUCUUCCAGGGCCUAAACCUACGCCUCCAAGGGCUUUGUUCCCUUGAACUCUAGUAACUUCACUGCAUCUGAAGUGCAGUCUCCAUCACACUCGCAAAGCUGUAAGAAACAACCCACCCCAUUGCCCACCCUCCUUGGCCACCAGGGCACUCAGGUUCUCCAGGGUCUCCCCUACCACCUGCAGUGCCCUCUCUACCAUGCUGGUGUAUGCCCACAAACAUUGGGCCAGUCCUGGGGGUGUGAGCCCAAGCUGCAAGGAGCCCUGCCACUGAAUACUACACACUGGUGGCAGGCCACCCCUCUAAUCCCCCUCCCAGAGGUCCUGAUGGCUCCACACCAUACUGCGAGGAAUCCUGCCGACUACACCAAUUGUCCUGUAGCUGUUCAAGGCCAGGUAAGUUCAACAUGAUAUUUGGGCAGACAGAAGAAAAUCACUGAGCUGUCAGGGUACUUAACAUGCCUUUAUUCCGGGGUGGGGUGAUACAUACGUGCCACAAGCUGCAAGUCGCACCACAGGAAGUCCAAACUCCCUGAUAUACUUAGUGCACACAAAGCUGGCAAGGUGCCAAUACUGACCUUCAGUUAUAUAACAGAGCUUCAUUCUAUGCAUGUGGGCCCCUACUCAAGGUCAUACGACACUGUAAGUUAUGUUUCCCUGGACAUCCAGGUGAGGGGAGU